Molecule: non-coding RNA, 21 nt
Filed under: Caenorhabditis elegans
Lineage: Eukaryota; Metazoa; Nematoda; Chromadorea; Rhabditida; Rhabditidae
Source: RNAcentral
UGUUUAUCUUCAACUAUCUUU